GCCAUGGAGGCGGCAGGCGCACGCACUGCCACCGGCGAGAGAUCUUGCAAUUUGAUUGAAGUCUCUGCUAUCACUAAAGCAAGUAUGCAUGUUCGUGAUUUAGGAUUAAUUCUUCUUCCAUGACAUGGGCCUCUCUCUCAUCUUGUUCACUUAUAUUUCCCACGGUGUUGUAGUUUCCUUGUUAUAACAAUUUAUAAUAUAGUGCAUGACAUCACUAAUUUGCAUCCGCAUGAUAGUCAUAAAAAUCCCUUUCCUGUUUGCCGUUGCUACUUAUGCUUUUAGAUAGUCGUUGAAACCUGUAAUUUUCUGUUCAAGCAUUCAUUCUGUGUGGUUACCCGAUCAAAUUUUUUUCCAAGCCAAGUAUGUUUGCAAAUAAUGUUGCAAGAUAUUUCUCAUAUAACACGACCUAGUGGAGUACCCAAACAAACACUAUUGAGCUCUUUUCAGUAAAAAAAAAGUACUAUAGUGAUGAUGUUAUGGUAAGUGUAGAAAUGACUAUUUUGCAGCGUAUAGACUUGUUUAUGCUUCACAAUGUCAAGAAUAGACAUGUUACAUGUUUAUUAUUAUACUUGGUACAUGGUUCACUUGUUUGUAUUAGGGAGUGGCUCUGCUAAUAUUGUUCUUGUCGAACUCAUGACCAGUUUUUGAGUGAUUAAAAUGUCCAGCAGCUUUGAGGGUUCAACACAUGAUUUUAUCAUAAGAUAUGCUCUUUUCUUAUUUGUACAUACGAUAAGCUAUUUGAAAAUGGCAAGUUUUAUAAAGGAUGGAUUUCUAUUAGGACAAUUAUGUAAAUAAUUGUAUUGCUUAAUUCCGCGGGUUGUUACGAAUCUCUAGAAUGCACUAGAAUUAUUUUCCUGUACAAGAUAAAUAAUAUUUGUAUAAUUUGUUCAUUAUUGCUAAGUUAGGAUUAUCCACAAAAUAGUUGGCUUGUCUGCCAUUUCCAACAUAGAAACAUACUUUAGGUUGCCUUUUGCGAUUAAUGUCAUAUCUUCUCUAUUUAUCCUUCCUUGUAGUGUGUGCAGCACACAGUUAGAUGGUGGUUGUUUAUGUAUAUUUAUUUGAACAGCUCAUGAUUAAUUUUUUAAGUAUGAAUGUAUGGCACAUACAUGGACUUGCGCUGAGGCUGGUCACAAUGAGGAGGAACUUAGGAGUAACAUCACACACUCCAAUACAACUUUGCUUAUGUGUCACAUAUUUAAUGAAGAGAGAGGUGCUUGUGGUAACUAGCUAAGUUACCGAAACAUCACACACUCCAAGAAACAAUGAGUCUAUAACCUAAUAAAUACAUUGUUGCAUGACACUACAUAGAUGUUCCUACCCACUGUGGAGAUAGUAACAUAGUCUAGGGAAGUGUGUAAGUUACUAGACUAUGUUCUUGCCCAUUGUGACCAGCCUAACUAAAUCAUAUUUGCUACGUCUGAACUCUCCCAGGACAACAAGCUCGACGAACAAGAAGCACUGCAUCUGGAGGCAACUGUUGUGUGCCGUCAAGAUAGCAACGUUCAUGCAGUUCUUAAUGGCAAUGCUUGUUGAGCGAUGAUUAUUAUAGUCCUUCAGACUUACCCUUGCCCGUCAUGUACCAAAGUUGAUGCAGUUUUCGCUAGCAAUACUUGAUCCUGUGAUAUGAGUGUCUUCUGUGUUAUGCCUGGGAUGUUACAGUUUGACAUGUACUAAAAAAUGCGGCGCUGAUAGUCCAGUUUGACAUGCACUCAAGUAUUUGUUUCUGGAAUGGUUCAUUUUAACAUUUAUGCCAUUUCUUGUGCCUGGUAUGGUCCAGCUUACACGUACUCACAUAUUAGUGUGUGAUGGUCAUGUUCA
This 1818-nucleotide long non-coding RNA is filed under the name Triticum aestivum (bread wheat). RNAcentral's name for it is "long non-coding RNA (TAES_LNC026051)". Lineage: Eukaryota; Viridiplantae; Streptophyta; Magnoliopsida; Poales; Poaceae. The record is from RNAcentral.